UACGUAGGGUGCAAGCGUUGUCCGGAAUUAUUGGGCGUAAAGAGCUCGUAGGCGGUCUGUCGCGUCUGCUGUGAAAACCUAGGGCUUAACUCUGGGCGUGCAGUGGGUACGGGCAGACUAGAGUGCGGUAGGGGAGACUGGAAUUCCUGGCGUAGCGGUGAAAUGCGCAGAUAUCAGGAGGAACACCGGUGGCGAAGGCGGGUCUCUGGGCCGAUACUGACGCUGAGGAGCGAAAGCGUGGGGAGCGAACAGG
This 253-nucleotide ribosomal RNA is filed under the name uncultured bacterium. Its description in RNAcentral is "partial 16S ribosomal RNA". It matches the Rfam family "Bacterial small subunit ribosomal RNA", at positions 524 to 776 of the family's 1533-position model. The record is from RNAcentral.